This 484-nucleotide ribosomal RNA is filed under the name uncultured bacterium. RNAcentral describes it as "partial 16S ribosomal RNA". It matches the Rfam family "Bacterial small subunit ribosomal RNA", at positions 29 to 507 of the family's 1533-position model. The record is from RNAcentral.
AUUGAACGCUGGCGGCAUGCUUUACACAUGCAAGUCGAACGGCAGCGCGGGCUUCGGCCUGGCGGCGAGUGGCGAACGGGUGAGUAAUACAUCGGAACGUGCCCAGUAGUGGGGGAUAGCUCGGCGAAAGCCGGAUUAAUACCGCAUACGACCUGAGGGUGAAAGCGGGGGAUCUUCGGACCUCGCGCUAUUGGAGCGGCCGAUGGCAGAUUAGCUAGUUGGUGGGGUAAAGGCCUACCAAGGCGACGAUCUGCAGCUGGUCUGAGAGGACGACCAGCCACACUGGGACUGAGACACGGCCCAGACUCCUACGGGAGGCAGCAGUGGGGAAUUUUGGACAAUGGGCGAAAGCAUGAUCCAGCAAUGCCGCGUGUGUGAUGAAGGCCUUCGGGUUGUAAAGCACUUUUGGCGGGAACGAAAAGGACUGUGCCAAUACCACGGUUCGAUGACGGUACCCGCAGAAUAAGCACCGGCUAACUACGUG